RNAcentral lists this ribosomal RNA (264 nucleotides) under Ilumatobacteraceae bacterium. Its description in RNAcentral is "partial 16S ribosomal RNA". It matches the Rfam family "Bacterial small subunit ribosomal RNA", at positions 1 to 257 of the family's 1533-position model. Lineage: Bacteria; Bacillati; Actinomycetota; Acidimicrobiia; Acidimicrobiales; Ilumatobacteraceae. The record is from RNAcentral.
UUGUUGGAGAGUUUGAUCCUGGCUCAGGACGAACGCUGGCGGCGUGCUUAACACAUGCAAGUCGAACGAGGUCCACCGCGUAGCAAUACAAGGGAAGACCUAGUGGCGAACGGGUGCGUAACACGUGAGGAACUUGUCCCGGUCUCUGGGAUAACAGUUGGAAACGACUGCUAAUACCGGAUGACGUCGGAGCAUCGCAUGGUGCGCUGACGAAAGGGUUACUGGAUCGGGAGAGCCUCGCAGCCUAUCAGCUUGUUGGUGGGG